This 253-nucleotide ribosomal RNA is filed under the name uncultured bacterium. RNAcentral describes it as "partial 16S ribosomal RNA". It matches the Rfam family "Bacterial small subunit ribosomal RNA", at positions 524 to 776 of the family's 1533-position model. The record is from RNAcentral.
GACAGAGGGUGCAAACGUUGUUCGGAAUUACUGGGCGUAAAGCGUGUGUAGGCUGCUCCAUAAGUCGGAUGUGAAAGCCCCGGGCUCAACCCGGGAAGUGCACUCAAUACUGUGGAGCUCGAGUAUCGGAGAGGUUGGUGGAAUUCUCGGUGUAGAGGUGAAAUUCGUAGAUAUCGAGAGGAACACCGGUGGCGAAGGCGGCCAACUGGACGAAUACUGACGCUGAGACACGAAAGCGUGGGGAGCAAACAGG